RNA transcript from Mus caroli (Ryukyu mouse), 1476 nucleotides. RefSeq lists it as uncharacterized. NCBI's taxonomy places the organism in Eukaryota, Metazoa, Chordata, Mammalia, Rodentia, Muridae. The record is from RefSeq and is a predicted model, not a curated record.
UGUUUGCCUGUCUUGUCUUUAGAUCAAUCCCCCUUCUUCACAUCACAUAUCUGGCACACCAGUCACUUGGACUGGCAUUGUCCCAUGCCACCACCGCUUCCAGCAAGCUCCAACAGGACAAAGGACACGUGGGUGUUUGCAGUGUGGUUACCGAUUUUCUCUGCAGGUGGCCGAGGGUGUUAGAUGGAUGGCCCAGUGGCCAAAGGGAGGCAUCGAGGGGAGGGGGGGGGGGAAAUCCUCUUGAUUCCUUAGAAGCCAAAGUAGCAACGUUUUUGAUCUUAGGAAUCCCCAGAGAUAUCAACUGGAAGGGUGUUUUUGUCAAAACAGAGAAACUAGAACAGGUCAUAGUCCUAUGGCAGGGACAGGAUCAGGGGCCACAGGCUGUGACAAAGCCUAGUUCCCCUAAAAAGGGGCCGAGAUACCCACGGGCUCGGGUGAGCUCAGAUUCCCCCUUCUAUGUCUCCAAGACAGAAGAACAGCAAAAUAUGCCUGGUCGACCGUCGGAGGAUGGGAGAGCUAAGAGGAGCAGGCCCUGACCCGGAUUCGACCCUACAGGUCCCUUCCGAGAACCCUCACCAGGUGUACCAUAACCCUGAGGAUCCAACCUUGCGCACCCUGGACUUCAGAGACCCUCCACGGGUGAAUCCUGACCUGGCAGGCAAUGGCCAGAAGGCAAAGGUUAGAAGGCAAAGAUCUGUUUGUUUCCGCUGCCCUGUGGGGGCCGCUUGUGCAAGGCUGAGGGGUAGAUACAGCCCCUCCUUCAUCCAGUUCCUGUUCCACCUCCCCGGUGUUCCACAGCAAAGGUCUGUCCCUCUGUGACCUGGUAAUGAGAUUUAGGGACGAUGGGUGCCAGGAACUACACCAGUGUGGCCCUGGGCUGGAGGUGCUCGGCCUACGGUGGCUAGGGGCAGAGUGGGAGCAGGCACUGGUCUGCAGUUGCCUCUGUCUAGGUUCUGUGGCUCGGCUGGGCUUCCUGCACCUCAAGGUUCCUGGACCUGUUGGUGAUCCCUCGGCGACUCUGCCAUCUGAGAUCCAGUCUGGGGGCUGGGGAAAGGCUCAGUGAUUAAGAGUGCUUUCUAUGUGCGUAUGGAGCCCUAAGUUUGGAUCCCUGCACGCACACCAAAAAGCAGGCAAAUGUGCUUGCUGCCAAGCUGGAGGACCUGAGUUUGAUCCUUGGAACCCUCACGGUGGAAGAAGAGAGUUGACUACUGGAGUUGUCCACUAUAGAAGGCACAGAUCACACCCCAACACAUACAUAACACACAUACAAUAAAGAAAUAGAAGUCAAGUUCUUAAAUUAAAUAGGAAUUUAAUUUUAGCAUAAGCAUGGACGGAGUCUAUGGGAGCACAGACUCCUCAGUCUAACCCUAACCCUAUCCCUAACCCUAACCCUACCCUCAUAUGCCUUUAGGAAGCUUCCUAUUAGGUUGAUGUACCAGAGGUCCCUGGGCUGAAUAAAAUGCUUCUGCCUCUUGA